RNAcentral lists this long non-coding RNA (26889 nucleotides) under Nicotiana tabacum (common tobacco). RNAcentral describes it as "long non-coding RNA (NTAB_LNC002493)". The record is from RNAcentral. Lineage: Eukaryota; Viridiplantae; Streptophyta; Magnoliopsida; Solanales; Solanaceae.
UACUUUUGGAGUAUAUAUUUGUGCCUGCAUAAAGUUGCUUUGACAGCAAUGAUAGCAGUGGGGAAUACCAUGAAUGGACCAAGCAAAAGAUCUUGAUGAUUGCUGAGUAUUGUCCCAGUCCACAGGGGAAAAACAGUCUUUUAGUUGGUAUGUAAACAAUAUAUCAUUAAUAUCUCCUCUAUUAUUUGGGAUCUUUACGCAAUAGUUUGUCAGAAUUACUAUUUUUUACUUGGUAUACAUAAAUUAUAUAUUAAUUAUACAUAACUAUAUAUUAUACAUAAAUUAUGCAUAUAUUAUAUAUUUAUUAAUUUUUUUUUAAUUUAGGCGGUCACAAUAAGUCUUCCUUUGAAAUUAUUUGCAUGUGUUGCUUUUCACAAAGCCCAAAUAUUCUAGCGUAUUAGUUGUCCAAAGAAUUAUAGUAAUUUCUUUCAUUUGUACUGCGAGCCACUACAGCUAGUAAUUAGAAGGCUGAGUCUCUCACAUUUGUUCAAUUUUAGCUACGUUUGUUUGUUACGUAUAUUUCAUAAUUUACUACUGGCUACUCAUUUUGACUAGUAUAUACAAGAAUUGACAACGUCAAUGUUUUGUUCAAGUAGUAAUUAAGGCUGGCAAAAUGGUUAACUAUUCGUAUUAUUCGCUAAAAAUGGGUUGGAUAAUGAACUAUUUAAAAAUGAGUCAAAUAUGGAUAAUAACCAUAUUAUCCAUUUAGAAAAUGGAUAACCAAUGGAUAUUUAAUGGGUUUAACUUUUAUAUUUGUAAAACCUCAUAUUGGAGGUUUCUCAAGUUUGGGAGACUAGGACUUCUCCCAAAUGUGAUCAUAUUCAUGAAGUCAUGGAUAAUAUGGUUACCCAUAUUAUCCGCCGGUUAACCCAUUUUUUUAUCCGUAUUAAAUAUGGGUCGGAUAAUAUAUCUUUUUUUUUCAUUAUCCAUUUUCAGCCAGUUCCAUAUCCGAUCCGACCCGCACGUUUACCACCACUAGCCGAAAGUAUAAGAACGUUAUGGUCGAGUAUUUGAUUUAUAUAUCUUGAGUACUUUGGAACCAACAACAAUUAGAGGAGAAGGAAAUGUAAAAAAUAAUAAUAAAAGAAGUGCUCAUCAUAACUUGCUGAUAAUUACUCCCUUCAUUGCAAUUUUCAUAGAUAUAUGUUAAUUUGAUAUGAAGUUUAAAAAAGAAAUAUCUAUUCGUUCCAUUUUAAGUGUUGUUUUAGCUCUUUUCAAGUUUAUUAAGAAAAUAAUAAGUAUAUAUCUUACUAAGUUACUUCUAUUAAAUAUUUUUUUGAGUAUUGAACAGUAUUAAAAAGAACUACUUCUUUAAUAUUAAGGAUAUAACUGGAAACAAUUAACAAAUUUAAUUUUGAAUUCAUAUAGUGACCAUUAUUUUGGGAUAAGUUUUUAAGCUAAAGUGACUGUUAAUUUUGGACAGAGGGGUAACGAUUCUUUUAGUCUUAAAUAUUACUAUGAGAUGUGUGGCUAUAAACAUAUGCUAUUUAAGGGUAAAUAAAAUUUUCUAAAUUAAAUUAUUUUAAUAGGAAAAAGAGAUUGGCAUGGCGUUUUCAGCCGAAGUAUCCAAACAAGAAAGGAUAAGAGUAUAUGUUUAUCUAUUUCCCUCUUGUAUUCAUAUUCCAAUACACAAAUUAAAGGGGACAUCUGUGUUCCCCGCCUCCAAUUAAUUACUGCUAGUUUUCCCUUUCUGUAUUUCUAUUUGAAGCAUCUUUACUUUCUCAUCCCUAGAUUUCAACUGCAUUGAAACCUGAACUAUAUAUAUAUAUAUAUAUAUACUGUGGUAGUGAAACUUGUGGUAAAGAGCAGAGGCGGAGCUAGAGCUUCGGUAACGAGUUCGGCCGAAUCCAAUAGCUUUAGUGCGAACUCUAUAUUUGUCUUGAAAAAUUCUUUGAAUAAGUAUAAAUUCUUAUUUUAGAACCUAGUAACAUAAAAAGGCUAGAACUCCGAACCAAUACCUUCAAAUCUUGGCUCCGCCUGUAAAGAGAUCGAAAAAAUAGAUUAUUAUUAAAUGACUAAUCUAGUUUUGAAUUUUGACUACUUUAAACUACCUAUGGGCUCCCAUUCAUAUACUCCCUCCGUCCCAAUUUAUGUAGUACUUUUUUCUUUUUUAGUUAGUCCCCAAAAGAAAUACAUCUUUCUAUAUUAGUAACAAUUCAACUUUAAAUUUCACCUUUUACCCUUAUUAAAAUGAUUUCUAGCCACACACAUUAAUUGAAGAUACACCUUUUAAAAGGAUAUUUAAACUCCAUUAUAUUUAUUAAGAUAAGACGUUUGAAUUUGCACACAUCCUAAUAUUUAGAUAUUACGUUUAGAUCUAAACAUUAGAUAAUUAAGGCUUCUUAUUUUUCAACAUCUAAAUAUGAAUAAUUUAUAUUAGAAACUAAGAAAUAUAAAAUUUGGAUAAAUCACUACAUUAAAUAUUAUAUUCACGAAAUAUUAGAGAUAAUAUGAAUCUACACUAGUCGUAUAAAUUGUUUCUUUAAAUAAUUACAUUCUAUAGAGAUAACGAUGAUGGUCGGCAAUAGGGGUGUAGGAUUUUUCAAUUAUCAAAACAAACCAACUGUGUCGGAUUAUUAAAUCUAAAGACCAAACCAAACUAAUAAAAAUCGAGUUUUCAAAUCUCGAUUUUUCUCGAGUUUCUUGGGGUUUUGAGUUUUUUCUGAUCUUUUUUAUAAAGUUUUCAUAGCACAGAAUAUAUAAUUUGUGCUCUAAAUAUUUCUUUAAUCCAAGUAAGACAGAACUAUAUAAGGUAUUUUUCAAGAAAAUAACAUAAAAUAUGAGAUGAUUCAUGAAAUUAUACUAAAAUAUUCAAUAAUAAAAAUAAUAAAAUCGCAAANNNNNNNNNNNNNNNNNNNNNNNNNNNNNNNNNNNNNNNNNNNNNNNNNUAUAUAUAUAUAUAUAUAUUAAAUUUCGAUAAUUUAUUGCAGAGUUUAAUAUUGUAAAAUCAAAUGCUAUAGUAUAAAAUGCUAUAUUACUAAUAUUGGGGUAACUUAAUUAAUUAUACAACAAUCUACGUAUCAUUUGUAUUAAUAAAUGUAACUUAAUUAGGAAUACUUGUAUCAACAAUAUAUGAACAAGAGUAUUUAAAAACAAAACUGCCCUUAAAAUAGCUAGACAACCCUUACAUAAAAAUCAUUGCAAUCCAGAUGUUAGUAUUCACUGCGUAUAAUAAUUCCUAUCUUAUUAUGACCAGAAAAACAUUUUCAACAUUAUAAUCCGUGCAUAAAUAGAUGGCAAACCAUACGCCCCUAAUCUAAUAGAAAUGGCAAUUCUGUGCACGAAAUAUCUCGUGUUCACAGAGGAUUGCACUCCAAGGGGGUGUGAUGUAGACAACCUAUCCAAAUAUAAGUAUUAGUGACUGAUUUUACAAUUCAAACUUGUGAUAUAUAAAUCACACAGAGAAUACUUUAGUGUUGAUCAAAGGGUCUCCUUCUAAUAUAGUCUAAUAAAAAAGAUAUCUAGGGCCAAAGUUGUUUGAUUCUUGAUGGAUGACAACUUACAACUACCUUAAAUUUUUAUGAUGGUUUGUUCACAAAUGAGACAUGCAUGGCCUUUUUCCUAAUAUAUAAUUAUACUUUUUUAUUAGACAAAUCAUGAUUGCAUGCACUCACACGUAAGUAAAGAGAACAAACGACCCAAAAAAAUACUAAACCAGCAAUUAGCUGAAUAUUAGGAUCUUCACUUUAAUCAACCCGUUUUAAUUAAAUAAUAAAGAAUGAUGGGAUGUUGUCCCACUAUAGAAUGUUGACUAACCAAUCACUACUUUUAAGUGUGGUUCUGUGGACCAUCCAAUUAUAUGGCUUUCUAGCAUCCGAUCCUUGAGGAAGAUUGAACCUAAGAUUUUAAUUUUAUAGGUUCGCUUCCGGUGUAAUUGUACCUGUACAUGGACAGUAAUAGGUGUGAGCUCGCAGAAGUGAACCACGAGCCAUUGAAGCGACCAAGAGAGGGAUUGCCAGGAACCGUAGAAGCGGAAUUUUUGGACGCACCUGUGAGCGCGCAGAAGCGGAAAAAUACACAGGUGCGAAGGAUUGGGCGCACCUACGGUUGCGCAGAAGCGACCCCUUUGUCUGCAGGUGCGGUGCCAGGCCAAGAUGGAAAAUCUCGACACCUACGAGGCUUUUAACGUUCAGGUCAUAACAACUAAACUCAUCACCUUAUUUGAGUUCUAGAUUCGUAAUUUAAUGUUUUCAAAAAUUUUAAUGGAUUUUAUACAAAUAAAUCAGGUCUAAGCUAAAACUUAUGGGUUCAGAUGAAUCCAUAUCUACAGUGUUAUAUCCCCCUUGCUUUGGAGAAGGUGGUGAAAUUUUACUAUUAAAUACUUAAAUUAAGUUGAAAUAUAAUAUACACUAAUAAGUGUAGAAUUGUUUUACAAUAUUAGUGUUGUUUAAUUAGUUAUUGCAAGUUUUCACUCAUUUAUUUGUCAGUGUAAGAAAAAAAUAUAGAUUGUCAUAAACUUAAAGUCAUUUGAGUUUACAUAUUUCUCAAAACAAAUGAAGCAACCAUAGAACACCCAAAUAGGGGAAUUUACCAAUUCAAAAUGACUGACCUGCUUCCUUGAAAUCGUCUAUAAUAGUGUGAAUGCGCAUAAUGUAAAGUAGAUAAAGCAGGGAAGAUAAAAAUAAAUAAAGAAAUAAAGGAAGAGAGUAAAAAAGUAUCUUUCCUUCAAAAAAUUUGGUAAAGUAAAGUUUAAGAAAUUUUUUGAACUAUUUUAAUGGUUAGGUGAAUUAUGAAUUAUGAGGUAGACUAUGAUUUGUAUAUUACGCUCGCUAGGUACUCUAUUUCUUUCUUUCUUUUUUCUUUUUCGAAAUCUCUCCUCUUUUUUAUACUACAAUAGCUUUCAAAACCUUUGAUGAUACAUUACAUGCAAAAUCAUAGAAUAAAAAAAGAUAAUUUUCUCAUUCUGGGAGUAACACAAUAACUCUGAAAGUUUUCUAAAAUUGUUCAUAACCGAAAGGCUAAAUGGAUUAAAAAAUAAUUAUCCAUCUAUAUUAUCCAGUUAAAAUUGAUACUUAAUGGGUAACAAAUGAGUUCUAUUUUUACAUAUGCAAAAACCUAAAAGGGUUCCUCAAAUUUGGGAGACUAGAGAUUCUCUAAAAAAUGAUCACAUUUAAAAAGUCAUGGAUAAUAUGAAUACCUAUAUUAUCCAUUGAUUAAUCUAUUUUUUAUCCGUAUUAAAUAUAGGCGCGUCAAAUAUUUUAUCGGAUUUUAUAUUACGGUUAUCGAUCCGCCCAUAUUCGGUCUGGCCCGCGCUCUGCCACCCAACUCGAGACAUAUGAUUUAACUAAGGCCUUAAGUUUUCUAGUUAAAUAAAAUGCAAUAACAACAAUCCAGUAUAAUCUCACUAGUGGGUUCUGGGGAGGGUAGUGUGUACGCAGACCUUACUCCUACCCUGGGGUAGAGAGGCUGUUUCCAAGAGACCCUCGGCUCCCUCCCUCCAAGAACUCCCCACCUUGCUCUUGGGCUGACUCGAACUCACAACCUUUUAGUUGUGAGUGGAGGGUACUUACCACUAAAGCAACCCUGUUUUCUAGUUAAAUAAAGUACAAAGUAAAGAAAAUGGAUAGUGCUCCGAGCUUUUAGAUACAUCAUAACAACGAAAGAUGACGUGCACCGUAAAUAAAAAUGAUAUAUUGUCCGGGCCAUCGAUAUUUUAAUUAUUGCUCUAUUAUUCUUCUAUUUCUAGGUUAAUGACCGGGGGGGAGGGGGGGGGGGGGGGGAGGGGGAAUAGAUCAAGAUUAACGGUAGGCAUUCUUAAUUUCCAGUUGUAGUGCUUUCUUUAGAUCCUUUGUAUUUGUACUGAAAAUAUAUUAGAACGCAUAAAUAUUUAUGUCACCACUAGAAAUCCCAACCUCGAGAUUGUGAAAGUCAGUGCCAGGCCACGCUUGGUCAAAACUUCAAUUUUGGACCAAAACUCAAUUACCCAUUCACCUCCGAGAUCGGUUAUUUGAUUAGUUUCGAAAUCCGACCUCAAUUUGAGGUCUAAAUCUCAAUUUUUUAAAAUUUCUAAUUUCUACCUAAAUUCCUAAUUUCUACCACAAAAAAUAUAUAGAUUAAAGGUUAAAAUCAAUGGACGUUUAUGAAAAUGUAAGAAAACAACUUAAAAUCUACUAACCUAUGAAGUUGGGAUGAAAAAGCUCUUCAAAAUCGCCUCUAGGCCGAGCUCAAACUUGAAAAUGGUGAAAAAUAAGAUAAAUCCUGACUUUGGGCUGUUUUAAAUCACUCGCGUCAGGUGUUCAUUGCAUCCGCGAAACACUUGACGCGAUCACGAAGCUUUGCGGCCUAAAUGGCAUUCACGUUCGCGAGAUGUUGUACGCGUUCGCGAUGACCUGUCCCCUUGGCCUUCGCGUUCGCGAGCCUAGGCUCCCGUUUGCGUAGAACACCAAGAAGAUCCCCUCCCAGACCCCAUAACCCUACGUGUUCGCUGGAGGAUGGUCGCGUUCGCGAAGGGUAAGCUCUCCAAUGCUUCAUGUUCAUGAAUAUGCCAUCGCGUUCGCGAUAAAAUCCACCCAAGCCCCAAGUUCCCCUUCGCGAUCGCGAGAAUACCUUCACGAUCGCGAAGCAUAAAACCUCAGAGACCAGCAAUAACAAAAAUCAACAAUUCUUCAAUUUCAAAAUGGCCCGUAGCCUAUCCGAAAUUCACCCGAGCCUCCUGGGCUUCAAACCAAACAUGCACACAAGUGUACUAACAUUAUGCGAACUCGGGGGGGGGGGGGGUAGAUCAAGAUUAACGGUAGGCAUUCUUAAUUUUCAAUUGUAGUGCUUUCUUUAUAUCCUUUGUAUUUGUACAGAAAAUAUAUUAAAACACAUAAAUAUUUAUGUCACCACCAGAAAUCCCAACCUCGAGACUGUGAAAGUCAAUGCCAGGCCACGCUUGGUCAAAACCUCAAUUUUGGACCAAAACUCAAUUACCCAUUCACCUUCGAGAUCGGUUAUUUGAUUAGUUUCGAAAUCCGACCUCAAUUUGAGGUCUAAAUCUUAAUUUUUCAAAAUUUUCAAUUUCUACCUAAAUCCCUAAUUUCUACCACAAAAAAAAUAUAGAUUAAAGGUUAAAAUCAAUGGGCGUUUAUGAAAAUGUAAGAAAACAACUUAAAAUCUACUAACCUAUAAAGUUGGGAUGAAAAAGCUCUUCAAAAUCGCCUCUAGGCCGAGCUCAAACUUGAAAAUGGUGAAAAAUAAGAUAAAUCCUGACUUUGGGCUGUUUUAAAUCACUCGCGUCAGGUGUUCAUUGCAUCCGCGAAAUACUUGACGCGAUCACGAAGCUUUGCGGCCUAAAUGGCAUUCACGUUCGCGAGAUGUUGUACGCGUUCGCGAUGACCUGUCCCCUUGGCCUUCGCGUUCGCGAGCCUAGGCUCCCGUUUGCGUAGAACACCAAGAAGAUCCCCUCCCAGACCCCAUAACCCUACGUGUUCGUUGGAGGAUGGUCGCGUUCGCGAAGGGUAAGCUCUCCAAUGCUUCAUGUUCAUGAAUAUGCCAUCGCGUUCGCGAUAAAAUCCACCCAAGCCCCAAGUUCCCCUUCGCGAUCGCGAGAAUACCUUCACGAUCGCGAAGCACAAAACCUCAGACACCAGCAAUAACAAAAACCAACAAUUCUUCAAUUUUAAAAUGGCCCGUAGCCUAUCCGAAAUUCACCCGAGCCUCCUGGGCUUCAAACCAAACAUGCACACAAGUGUACUAACAUCAUGCGAACUCGGGGGGGGGGGGGGGAUAGAUUAAGAUUAACGGUAGGCAUUCUUAAUUUCCAAUUGUAGUGCUUUCUUUAGAUCCUUUGUAUUUGUACUGAAAAUAUAUUAGAACGCAUAAAUAUUUAUGUCACCACCAGAAAUCCCAACCUCGAGACUGUGAAAGUCAAUUCCAGGCCACGCUUGGUCAAAACCUCAAUUUUGGACCAAAACUCAAUUACCCAUUCACCUCCGAGAUCGGUUAUUUGAUUAGUUUCGAAAUCCGACCUCAAUUUUAGGUCUAAAUCUCAAUUUUUCAAAAUUUCCAAUUUCUACCUAAAUCCCUAAUUUCUACCACAAAAAAAAUAUAGAUUAAAGGUUAAAAUCAAUGCGCGUUUAUGAAAAUGUAAGAAAACAACUUAAAAUCUACUAACCUAUGAAGUUGGGAUGAAAAAGCUCUUCAAAAUCGCCUCUAGGCCGAGCUCAAACUUGAAAAUGGUGAAAAAUAGGUUAAAUCCUGACUUUGGGCUGUUUUAAAUCACUCGCGUCAGGUGUUCAUUGCAUCCGCGAGACACUUGACGCGAUCAAGAAGCUUUGCGGCCUAAAUGGCAUUCACGUUCACGAGAUGUUGUACGCGUUCGCGAUGACCUGUCCCCCUGGCCUUCGCGUUCGCGAGCCUAGGCUCCCGUUUGCGUAGAACACCAAGAAGAUCCCCUCCCAGACCCCAUAACCCUACGUGUUCGCUGGAGGAUGGUCGCGUUCGCGAAGGGUAAGCUCUCCAAUGCUUCAUGUUCAUGAAUAUGCCAUCGCGUUCGCGAUAAAAUCCACCCAAGCCCCAAGUUCCCCUUCGCGAUCUCGAGAAUACCUUCACGAUCGCGAAGCACAAAACCUCAGACACCAGCAAUAACAAAAACCAAUAAUUCUUCAAUUUCAAAAUGGCCCGUAGCCUAUCCGAAAUUCACCCGAGCCUCCUGAGCUCCAAACCAAACAUGCACACAAGUGUACUAACAUCAUGCGAACACGCUCGCACAAUCAAAAUACGAAAAUAAUACCUAGAACUAUGAAUCAAACAUCAAAAUGCAUGACUUUUUCAAAGAAACUCAAGAACUUUCAAAUUCACAACCGAGCGUUCGAAUCCUAUCAAAUUAACUUCGUUUUCCACCAAAUUUUGCAAACAAGUCUUAAAUAAUAAAAUAAACCUAUAACAAGUUCCGAAACCGAGUUUCGAACCCGAUAGACAUAAAGUUAUCCUACGGUCAAACUUCUAAAUUCCUUAAACGUUCAAGUUACUACGUUUCAACAAAUUACGUCAAAUCAAGUUAGGGACUUCCAAAUUCAAUUCCGGGCAUACGCCCAAGUCCAAAAUCACGAUACGGACAUGAGCGUAUGCAGGAAGUUUUAUAAGCGGUGUCCAAAUUUAUAGAAGAACUGAAAUAUAACUUUGAUUAUCAUAUUUUUAGACAAUAAAUAGCCUUAGUCUAUUAGUUUUGUUGAGUCUUAAGUUAGAAAAGGUCCUUAGUUCAAUUCUACUUCAUCACAAUUUUUAACCACAAAGGUUCUCUCAAAUAUUUGCAAAAGAGAAAUGUACUUGUUAAGGUUUAAAGCUUUGAACUCUUAGAGCAAAAUCAAGUACAUAACCAAUACACCAAGACACAAUUUAUGUCAAGUGGUGUAAUUUUUUCCUACUUAUCCGUUUUCGUAAUAUAUUAAUACAAUUAUUUAGUAAACUUUUCCGACGAAGCGGUAUAGCGUGACACCACUUCGGUAAACGUGCAUCUGCCCCUGGAUACGGACUCAUCGGGAUCGUCCAUACUGAUCAGGUCCGUUUACACAAAUGUUGACCGUAGUCAACUCAAAUCAUUUUUAAAGCUAAAAUUCAUGUUUUCUUCAAUCGUUUUCACGUAAACACUUUCCGAAAAAGACACGAACUGCGCACAUAAGUCAAGAAUCACUAAACGGAGCUAAUCGACGUCUCGGAAUACUGAAAUAAGUGCUAGAACUCAGAAUGACCUAUCAGGUCAUCACAUUCUCACCCUCUAAAAUAAAUGUUCGUCCUCGAACGAACAUAGAAAGGUAUCUAGACUGGUGAAAAGGUAUGGGUAUCUGCUCCACAUGUUGGACUCGGACUCACACGUAGCUGCCUCGAUCAACUGACCUCUCCACUACACUCUAACAUAAGGAUAACUCUUAGACCUCAACUUCUGAACCUGCCGUGCUAGAAUGGCCAACGGCUCCUCCUCGUAAGUCAAAUCGUUGUCCAAUUGGACUGAGCUGGGUUCUAAUACAUGGUACGGAUCACCGUGAUACUUAUGGAGCAUGGAAACAUGGAACACCGGGUGAAACAUUGAUAAGCUAGGUGACAAUGGAAGCUUGUAGGCCACCUCACUAACUCUCUCAAGGAUUCAAAGGGUCUGAUAUACCUAAGGCUCAACUUGACCUUCUUCACGAACCUCAUCACACCCUUCAUGGGUGAAACCCAGAGUAAAACCCUCUCUCCAACCAUGAAUGCAACAUCACAAACUCUCCGAUCGGCAUAACUCUUCUUCCUAGAUUGUGCGUAUGAAGUCGAUCCUGAAUCAUCCUUACCUUUUCCAAGGCAUCCUGAACCAAAUCAGUACCCAACAACCGGGCCUCUCCCGGCUCAAAUCAGCCAACUGACGAACGACACCGCCUCCUAUAUAAGGCCUCAUAAGGAGCCAUCUAAAUACUCGAUUGGUAGUUGUUAUUGUAGGCAAACUCCACAAGCGGCAAGAACUGAUCCCAAGAACCCCCGAAAUAUAUAACACAUCCGCGAACACAUAUCCUCAAAUAUCUGAAUAGCGCUGGGACUGUCCAUCCGUCUGAGGGUGAAAUUCUAUACUCAACUCAAUCCGUGUGCCUAACUCACGCUGUACGUCCCUCGAGAAGUACGAUGUGAACUUUGUACCCUGAUCAGAAAUAAUGGACAUUGGUCAACCUAUCCACAACGACCCAUACUACGUCAAAUUUCUUCAAAGUCCGUAGGAGCUCAACAACAAAAUCCAUGAUAAUAUGCUCCCACUUCCACUCCGGAAUCUCAAGUCUCUGAAGCAAAUCACUAGGCCUCUGAUGCUCAUACUUUACCUGAUGGUAAUUCAAAAACCGAGCCACAUAUACAACUAUAUUUUUCUUUACCAAUAAUGCUACCUCAAAUCCUGAUACAUCUUAGCAAUACCGAGACGAAUGGAAUACUGCGAACUAUGGGCCUCCUUAAAAAUCAGCUCAUGGAGCCCAUCCACAUUGGGCACACAAAUCCGACCUGUAUCCGCAACACCCCAUCAUCUCCAAUAGAAACCUGCUUAGCAUCACUGUGCUGCACUGUGUCCUUAAGGACAAGCAAAUGGGGGUCGUCAUACUGACGAUCUCUGAUGCGCUCAUACAAAGAAAACCGAGAGACCGUGCAAGCAGGAGCCCGAUUAGGCUUCGAAAUAUCUAACCUCACGAGCUGAUUGGCCAAGGCCUGAACAACUGAUGCAAGCGAUCUCUCUACAACUGGAAUAUAUGCAAGCCUACCCAUACUCACAGCCUUUCUACUCAAGGCAUCGGCCACCACAUUGGCCUUCCCGGGAUAAUACAAAAUGGUAAUAUCAUAGUCUUUCAAUAAAUCUAACCACCUCCGUUGUCUCAAGUUGAGAUCCUCUUCCUUAAACAAGUAUUAUAGAGUCUGGUGAUAUGUGAAUACCUCACAUGACACAACGUAGAGGUAAUGCAUCAAAAUUUUUAAUGCAUGAAUAAUAGCUGCCAACUAUAAGUCAUCAACAAGGUAAUUCUUCUCAUGAACCUUCAACUGCCGAGACGCAUAUGAAAUCACCCUACCAUCCUGCAUCAAUACUGCGCCAAGCCCAACACGCGAUGUAUCACAAUACACAAUGUAGGAUCCUGAACCUAUGGGCAAUACCAACACUAGGGUUGUAGUCAAAGCAGUUUUGAGCUUUUGAAAGCUCAAGUCAUACUCAUCGGACUACCUGAAUGGGGCACCCUUCUGGGUCAAUCUAGUCAAUGAGGUUGCAAUGGAUGAAAACUCCUACACGAACCAGCGGUAAUAACCCGCUAAACCUAGGAAGCUCCGAAUCUCUAUAGAUGAAGUAAGUCUAGGCCAGUUUUGAACUGCCUCAAUCUUCUUGGGAUCCACUUUAAAGUCCUUGGCAGAUACAACAUGUCCCAAUAAGGCAGCCGAGUCCAACCAAAACUCACACUUUGAAAGCUUGGCAUAUAACUAACUAUCUCUCAUAGUCUAAAGUACAACCAGAAGAUGUUGCUCAUGCUCCUCUCGACUGUGGGAGUAGAUCAAAAUAUCAUCAAUGAAUACGAUCAAAAAAAGAAUCCAAAUAGGUCUUACAUACCCAAUUCACCAAUUCCAUAAAUGUUGCUGGGGCAUAUGUCAACCCAAAUGAUAUCACUAUGAACUCAUAAUGCCCAUACCAAGUCUAAAAGCUGUCUUAGAGACAUCCGAUGCACUAAUAUUCAAUUGAUGGUAGCCAAAUCUCAAAUAAAUCUUCAAAAAUAUUUUGGCACCCUUAUGUUGAUCAAUUAAGUCAUUAAUCCUCGACAACGAAUACUUGUUCUUGAUAAUGAAUUUGGUCAACCGCUGAUAGUCUAUACACAUCCUCAUCGAACCAUCCUUCUUCUUCAGAAUAAAACUGGUGCAUCCUAGGGCGAGACACUAGGUCUAAUAAAUCCCUUCAAAUCACACAUAAAACAUAUAGCAAAUAGACCAACAAGUCUUAAUCCCUCAAGUCAAGGUUAACCACGAUACUUACCUCAAUUCCGAAAUCAAAUCAAUGCUCAACCGCCACUUUUACUCUAGAAUUAGCCUCCAAAUCAAUCAAAUCUAACAAAAUUUAGUUCAAAUAAUUCAAAAUAAGCUUCAGAAACUACCCACGAGUAAAAAAGAUUCAAUCUUUAAUGAUUUUGGAAAAGGUCAGCAAAAGUCAACCUCAGGCUCGCUUGGUCAAAACCCGAGAUUUGGACUAAAACUCAAUUACUCAUUCACUCCCAAGCCCGGUUAUUUUAUUAGUUAGAAAAUCCAACCUCAAUUUGAGGUCUAAAUCUCAGUUUCUCAAAAUCUCUAAUUUUUACCUAAAUCUCUAAUUUCUACCAUGAAAAAGUAUAGAUUAAAGGUUAAAAUCAAUGGGUGUUUAUGAAAAUGUAAGGAAACAAGUUAAAAUCCGCUAGCCUAUGAAGUUGGGAUAAAAAACCUCUUCAAAAUCGCCUCUAGGCCGAGCUCAAACUUGAAAAUGGUAAAAAAGAAGAAGAUAAAUCUCGACUCUGGGCUGUUAUAAAUCACUGGCAUCAGGUGUUCAUCGAGUUCGCGAGACACAUAACGCGAUCGUGAGGCUUUGCGGCCUAAAUGGCCUUCGCGUUUGCAAGAUGCUAUAUGCGUUCGCGAUGUCCUGUCCCUUAUGGCCUUCCCGUUCGCAAGCCUAGGCUUACGUUCGCAUAGAACACUAAGAAGAUCCCCUCCCAGACCCCAUAACCCUACGCGUUCGCGAAGGGUAGGCCCUCCAAUGCUUCGCGUUCGCGACCAUGUCAUCACGUUCGCGAUGAACAAAUCCACCCUAGACCUUAUUUACCUUUUGCGAUCAUUAGAGUACCUUCGCGAUCGUGAAUCACAAAACCUUAGACAUCGGCCACAGUAAAAACCAGUAAUUCUUCAAGGUCAAAAUGGCAUGUAGCCUAUCCGAAACUCACUUGAGCCCCUUGGCUCUAAACCAAAUAUGCACACAAGUGUAAUAACCUCAUGCGAACUCGCACACACAAUCAAAAUACCAAAAAACAUCUAGAACUACUCUAUGAGGUAAAAUAUGUUCAUAUUUAUUGUUCGCAUGAGAAGGUGACACGUGGAGCCGAAGACAAAAAUAGUCGGGCCCGAGGACAAUGAUCACGCUUGUUCUCGGAGAGAAUGAUAUUCAUAAAGGCAAAGUAAAUUCCUACCAUCUGGUAGAAUUUAAUGAAGAAUAUUCUAUAGUAUUAAGUGCACGGUCCGUUAUAGAAAAUAAGACAUUUACUGCCUACCGUUACACACUCUUCAAUGGUCCUCAUAAUUGUCAUUUAAGAGAGGCUUGAUCCUAGGACCUUUUUCCUUAUGUACAAUUAUAAAUAGUGAGCUAUGCCUAUCAUCUUAUCUCAAUUUUAAUGCUAAGUCUUACAUUUUUGUCUAAUUCAUUUAUCAUUUUAGGAUCAAAUCAAUUCACUUGUCUAUAUACCACGUAUAAAUUCAACUGUACCAUUUUACGGGUUAACAGUUUGGCACUCACCGUGGGGCUUAGACAGUUGUGUGUUUGAAUUGAUCCCUGCAUCAAUUACUAACUUGUUUGAUUCUUUGUUCUUAGCAAAAAUGAUUAAAAAUGGAAGAUAACGAUGUCAACAUCACACACAACAUUGAGGCCCAAGGAAAUCAGCCUCAGCACGAAGAUUCCAUCACUGACACCCGCAAUGAGAGGGAUGAGGCCACGCCGGUUCACGGCCGGAAAUAUCCACGACAUGUUUGAGAGGCAACUCCUAAUGAUACUGAAGACGAGCACGUCGUCGAAACAAUAAUGAUCUUGAUGGAGUAGCAAAAAGCCAUUAUGUGCUAUCUCUCACGGCAGGAUCAUGUCAUGAUGGAAUUAAGGCAAGCAUUGUGGGGUGCUUCCAAAAAUGCGAAUGUAUGAGGUCCAAUUCCUCUCGGUGUUUUGCAAGUCAAACAACCCAAAGGGUAAAUAACAACACCCCGAUGGGCGAGGUCGACUUUGACAGAGCCGGGGGGAAUGGUAGCAGUUCCGUCAACAACAAUAAAAAUGAUCCCUUUAAAACUGAACUCAUGCGGUUUAUGAGAAAAAUAAAUGCCCAAAUAGAUCAAAUUCCAGGUGUGCCACCAGUACUGAAAGGACCGAAUUCAAAGAAGUACAUCCAGUUGUCGUUCAAACCAAGAGCGACAACAGAGUUUAUCCUGAAGUGGUUCAAAAUGCCAGAUGUGCCGAAGUAUGAUAGGAAUUCAGAUCCCAGGAGCAUAUCACCACCUAUACAAUGGCAGUGAAGGGAAACGAUUUGGCUCUGCAUGAGAUUGAGUCAGUUUUAUUGAAGAAAUUCGGGGAGACCCUCACGAAGGGGGCCCUGACGUGGUCUUCACUCUUGCCCGAGCAUUCUAUAGACUCCUUCGAGAUUCUCGAGGACUCUUUCAUUUAGUCUCAUGGUGGAACUAGUAUCGGCCAUGAGGAACAUCAAAGAGGCAUAGUUCCCGAAGCCAAUAAGAUCCGACCCCAGCCAAAGGGAUCCUAAUUUAUGGUGCGAAUAUGAUGGGACCAACGGUCAAUGGACAGGGAUUUGUCGGAAUUUGUGCGAGGAAGUGGCGAUAUUACUGAAAAAUGAUCAUCUCAGAGAAUUUUUAAGCUUCCAAGCUAAAAACAACUAUGACCGCAAUCGUGAUAAUACAGAGCAUUCAAAAGCAGGAGAAAAUCCCCCACGCUUGGCGAUCAACAUGAUUUUCAGGGGAAACGAGAUUAAUGGGGUGACAUUUUGGUGGCAAAAAAGACGAAGGUGUCAGUGACUCACAACAAUAGUUUCUGGGAAGUCGCUGAGGAGGAUAACACUUUCACGGAGGAAGACAUAGAUGGAUUGCUGCUGCCGCACAACAUUGCAUUAGUAAUCUCCUUAAAUGUCUUAGAUUUUAAAAUUAAACAUGUUUUGGUAGACCCAGGAAGUUCGGCCAAUGCCAUCCAAUGGAGAGUGUUGGAGAAAGCCAAGCUCACCGGAAGCAUCAUUCUAGCCACAAAGCUCCUCUCAGGGUUUGACCUAGCAAGUGUGACAACCCGAGGAGAGAUCUUGCUGCCCACGAUUUCUGAGGGGCUGAUGAGGACGACUCUUUUUGAGGUGGUGGACGACGAUAUGGGCUAUAAUAUUAUCUUAGGGAGAUCGUGGUUGCACGAAAUGAAGGCUGUGCCAUCAAUAUAUCACAAGUUGUUGAAUUUUCUAACUUCUUGAGGGAAUUAAACAAAUAAGAGGCGACCAACCGGCAAUAAGGGAGAUGAAUAUGGAAUCAGUUUCCAGUAGCAAAGGGAAGGAGAAUGCGGUAUAGCAAUUACAGGAAUCGACAUCUGCUCCUGAGCCGAGCGAAGUCAGCCAGGGGAAGGAUUCAUCGGAAUCCUAUCAGGUACCAAGAUAUUUUCAGGUACCAGAAGAAAUAGACAUAACAAAAUCCACGAUGGAAGAACUUGAACAAGUUGCAUUGUCCGAAAAUUUCUUGGAGAGGAAAUUCCAUUUGGGGACAGGACUACACCCUGAGCUUAGGUCUGGAUUUAUUGAAUUUCUUAAAUUUAAUGUCGAUUUCUUUGUGUGGUCGCAUGCGGAUAUGACAGGUAUCCCGCCAGAAGUGGCCGUACACAAACUAAGCCUGGACCCAGCAUCCCUCAGGUAAGACAGAAAAAAUGUCGUAUUGCGAGGUUAAGAAUAAAUUCAUCAAAGAAGAGGUAACUCGUUUGCUUGAUAUUGGUUCAAUCCGAGAGAUAAAAUAUCCCGACUGACUAGCUAACGUAGUAGUAAUACCAAAGAAGAAGAAUACGUUUUGCAUAUGCUUAGACUAUAAUGAUUUAAAUAAGGUGUGCCCAAAAGACUCAUUCCCAAUGCCAUACAUUGAUCAAAUGAUUGAUGCGACGGCUGGACACGAGUUAAUGAGUUUCGUCGAUGCUUAUUCCAGGUACAACCAAAUCAAGAUGAACCCAGAGGAUCAGGAAAAGACCUCGUUCAUAACGAACUUUGGGACAUAUUGUUACAAUGUGAUGCCUUUUGGGCUAAAGAAUGCCGCAGCCACUUAUCAACGGCUCGUAAACAAAAUGUUUGAGAAACAAAUAGGGAAAAAUAUGGAAGUUUACAUAGAUGAUAUGCUGGUUAAGUCUUUGAACAUUGGUGACUAUCUGAAACACUUGCAAGAGACCUUUGACAUCUUAAGAAAACAUAACAUGAAGCUUAACCCCGAGAAGUGUGCGUUCGGGGUCAGCUCCAGUAAGUUCCUGCCCCGAUAAAAUUAAAGCCAUCGAAGACAUCCCGGACCAGCUAUCAAGCGUAAAAGAGAUUCAAAGGCUAACGGAGAGACAGGCUGCUUUGAGCAGAUUCAUUUCCCGGUCUUCGAAAAAUGCCAUCAUUUCUUCGCACUUCUAAAAAAGAAGAAUAAUUUUUGAAUGGACACUAUAAUGUCACCAGGCUUUGAAGGAUCUGAAAAAGUUUUUGUCAAUUCCUCUGUUACUGUCAAAACCGGAGAAAGGCGAACAACUACUGAUAUACUUAGCGAUCUCGGAGGAAGCAGUAAGUGUUGUUUUAGUCCACGAGGACAAAGGUACGCAAUCUCCUAUUUAUUAUGUAAGUAAAAUUUUGACGGGAGCAGAAACUCGCUACUCACAACUGGAAAAAUUGGCGUUUGCCCUCUUUUCCAGUGUCACCCGAUAGCGGUGGUGGUGACCACUUUUCCCUUGCGGAAUAUUAUUCAUAAGCCUAAACUCUCAGGUAGGCUGGCCAAGUGGGCCAUCGAAAUGAGCGAAUUUGACAAAGAAUAUAAGCCUAAGACUGCAAUUAAGUCAAAAGGUUUGGCCGACUUUGUGGCCGAUUUCACUCCGGGUUUUACCUUUGGCUACCAAAGAAGCAGUUAUGGUGUCAGAAUCGACAUCAGAAGUUUGGACCUUGUUCACGGAUGGAGCUCCCAAUGUGAAAGGGUCCAGGCUCGGCAUAGUGUUAGCCAUGCCAUCGGGAUAAACCCUAAAUCAGGCCAUAAGAACUGUUCCCCUGACUAACAAUAAAGCAGAGUAUGAAGCUUUGAUUGUAGGGCUUGAAUUUGCCUGAUGACUGGACUCCGAGGUCAUAGAAAUCAAAUGCGACUCCCAAUUGGUAGUAAAAAGCGACUCCCAAUCAGACUAUGGUACUGUAGUACAACUUAUGCAUUCGACAUUAGACGCAGACAACUAUUACGAGGUAAACACGGCUAAUUUGGUAUGGGACUGGAGAAAUGAGAUCAUUGACUAUCUCGAGCACGAAAAACUACCUGGAGAUUCCAUGGCAUAUCGGGCACUACACACUAAAGCAACUUGAUACAGCUUCAAGGGGGGUCAAUUAUAUAGAAGAUCUUUCCAAAGCCCGUUGGCUUGAUAUUUAGGAGCUUCCGAAGCUAAUUAUGUUAUGCGAGAAGUCCACGAUGGGAUCUACAAAAAUCACUCAGGCGCGGAUUCCUUAGUGUUAAAAUUAAUUAGGGCACAAUACGGUUGGCCCCGGAUGGAACAAGACACCAAAGCUUAAGUUCAAAAAUAUGAUAAAUGUCAACGCUACACACCGUUGGUACCUCUAUCGGCAAAACCAUUGUACUCGGUUUUGUCACCAUGGUCGUUCAUGAAGUGGGAGAUGAAUAUCGUCGGACCACUGCCGCUAGUCCCCGGUAAGGUAAGAUUUCUUUUGAUUUUAACUGACUAUUUUUCUAAGUGGGUUGAAGCAGGUCCUUAUCAGAAGAUCGACGAACGUGAAGUGGUAGAUUUCUUGUGGGAGAAUAUAAUUUUCAUAUUUGAAAUACCAAAAGAGAUAGCCUGCGACAACGGUCUGCAAUUUAUAGGCGCAAAUGUAACAAAAUUCCUUGAAGGCUUGAAAAUAAAAAAGAUAACAUCAAUACCCUAUCAUCUGAGUGCAAACGGUCAAGCAGAAUCAACAAACAAGGUGAUUAUACAAAAUUUCAAAAAUAUAUUGGAAGCAGCUUAAGGUAAAUGGCCCGAAGAGCUGGCAGGGGUACUAUGGGCGUACCGAACAAUGGUCAAAUCAAGCACGGGGGAGACUCCUUUCUCUCUUUGUGUACGGGGCUAAAGCCCUGAUCUUGUUGGAAGUAGGAGAUCCUACCCUGAGGUGUUUCCGGGUAAGCGAAGAAGCAAACAAUGAAGCAAUGUUAGUCAAUUUGGAGCUGCUCGGUGAACGCAGGGACUUGGCGCAUAUAAGGAUGGCAUCCCAAAAGCAGAGAAUAAGGAGAUAUUACAAUCAAAGAGCCAACCUCCAUUAUUUCAAAGUAGGAGACUUGGUUUUAAGGAAAGUAACUUAGAACACCCGGGAACUCAAUGCAGGAAAGAUAGGUCCAACAUGGGAAUGCCCCUACCGGGUUUCAGCUGUCACCGAGAAAAGGUCAUACGAGUUAGAAAAUCGAGAUGGAGAAAAGUUGCCAAGCAACUCGAAUGUGGCACAUCUCAAGAGAUACUAUUGCUGAUGAGCCUCGCCUGUACUGAAAGUAUGUGCUGCUCCACUCUUUUUUCUUUCAUCCAGUUUUUGUCCCAAUUAGGUUUUUCUAGAAAAGUUUUUAACGAGGUAGCAAUGAAAAGCAUACUACGAAGGAAGAUUCAGCAACAACAAUAAUACCUUUAAAUGACAAGGCACACAAGCAAAGAAUCACUACGGAGUGGUUAGAUAGUCUUUUGCCCGAUAGCAAAGUUCCUACCGGGAAGUAAAGUUUACUGUCGAACAGAGAUUACCCGACCGUUCACAAGUGCAAUACACUGGGGGAUUGUUAAAUAAUCUUUGGCUCGAUAGCAUAAAUUCCUAAAGGGAAGUAAAGUUUGCUAUCGAACUGAAGAUUAUCUAGCAAUUCACUAGUGGAAUCCUCGAAGGUGUAAAACUUCUAGUGUUCCAAUUCACAUUCUUCGCAUUCGAACACUAGGGAGGAAUGAUAUGAGGAUACAACAACAAUGACUGCCACAUCGACCGAAAUACGAAACCCAAAAACGUAGUUGUAUCAUCGGGGCCAAGGACUGUGCGGCCAUCCCUGUAGAAACAAGUUGGCCACAAGAAAUGGCAAUUUCUUUUUAGCACAAUGAAUGUUUAUGUAAUUUUGAAAAUGGAAGGUAUAAAGUAAAGUCAUGUUAUUUCUAUCUUGUUUCUUGUCUAAACGAUGAAUUCAUUUUAUCAUUUUAAAGGUAAACAAGUACUUCAAAUGUUAGUGCCAUAAUGAACAUGAGACGUCAUCUUCAAGAGCACCGUAAACAUAAGAGGUCCCUCUCUUAUGAAACCCUCAAGUUAAAGGGUUGAUUUUGGAAGAACCUAUGCCCAAAAUCAAAAUACUACCGGGGAAAUAUACACCCGAAGUCUCACAUAUCUCAGCGCGGAAAACUGAUGAGAAGACUUAAACGAAAAAGACGCAAAAAGUUAAACUUGGGCAAAUACUUAAACGAAAAGUACGUAAAGAGAAAGACUUGAACGAUGCUUGAACGAAAAAGUUGUUUCUAUUCAAAAUAAACGUUCCAAACAACACAAGUACAAAAAUAUGAGAAACGGAACCCGAAAGAAGAGAAUCAUCUACACCCCUAGGGAAGGUGGGAGGAUCCGCCGCCGGCUCAAUACCUUGGCCUUCAUCAUUUUGUCCUUCAGCAUCAACACCUUCCGGUUCUUCUUCAGUUCCCAAAAACUCGGAACUGGAACCAGAAGAGUCGGUAGCAUCAGCUCGGGCCAGAAGAUCCCUUUUGGCAGUUGACUCCAGCUCACAAGCCUUAGUGAUUUUGGCAUCAAAGUCAAUGACACCCGCUUUGGCCCCUUCCAAGGUUUUUCUCCUCAUGCUAUGCAUAACAUAUGUUUUUUCAACAACGAGGAAGCUUCUCGGUACUGGAGUUCUUCUUUAAGUCGGCUGACCUCGGCAGAAAGGUUAUCCCAUACGGAUCUGGUGGACUGGAGACUGACGUCAAGCUCGCGGACAGUGGAGCUGAAAACUCUAUUAUGUUCAAUGGUCUUCUUAUGAUUCUCCUCCGAUCGGGAAUACUUUGCCUCGACAACAAUAACUUCUUCAGUUUUUGAGUUUAAGGCCGCCUCCAAAUUAUUCAAUCUUUCUGUAGCAGCAACCUCGUGAUCAGAUGCUGCAAGAAUGGCAUUAUGGACCUUAACCCAUUUGGCCUUAGUUUAUUCAAAUUGUGCCCUUAAUGAGGCGACCUCCGGGCUAAGAGUCACUACUUCUUGCUCAUUUUGUUGCAACCGAGCCUCCAACUCAACGACCCCAGUGGCUCGUUCUUCCAGUUUUGAGAGGCGAGUAGCAGUUUGGUCUUGCUCGGCCAAAAGUUGAUCUCGCUCGGAGGAAAGUUCCUCCUUAUCACAAAUCAGCCUUUGAAGGCCCUUGGAAGCAAGAAAGUUGGCCUGCAAAACAAAAAUACAAAUUCAAAACCAUGCCAUAACAAAGAUAGAAGAAACAAUAGAUGAAAUAAGGACUAUAUCGUCGCUGCAUUGUGCAUGGCAUUGUUCAACAAACACUCUCCUGAGAGAGUUUGUAUUUUAUCCUUAUCUUUUCCUGAAGCCAAAGGCUUAAGAUAGUUUGCAAGUUCCACCGGCUGGGAUAAUAUAUGGCAUCCAGUAGAAACUGAGAGGGUAACGCUCCUCCUACUUUGGGGAUUUUCUGAGGGGGCAGCAUAAUUUUGCCCAGGUUCCCAUGAACUGGGGACUGGGGAAGAGGGACAUCAUCCUCUUGGGCAACUGCGGCAGGUGGAUAUGAUGUAGCAGUUGCUGGUGGCGAAGGAAGAGCGGUGAAGAAAGAGAUGAAGCUGAUGGCAAAGUAGCUGCGACAAAUGCAGUGCUGGUUGUUGGUUGCUCAUCAACCAAAGAUGACAGGGACCAGUACUUAGCCUCACGGUAUCGGGCACGAUGACUGGGAUUCGGAAAUGGGAGUUAGCAUUUUCCACUAUAUCAUACCCCCCAGAAUGUCGGGGCAUUGCCCUCGGUUGGUGUAACUAGCCCAACAUAUUGAGCAUUCUAUUGAGCUGAGGAAGGUUGUCGUCUUCUAUGUAGAGAAGCCCUCUCCUCACUGGUUUCUCCAUCAUCGUAGAUCACCAUGGUGUCUAUGGCCGACUCGGGCGCGGGGCUCAUUACCACAACAUCUAAAGACGACUCAGGCGCGACAUCCUUUGCCUUUUUAUUUUUUCCCCUAGUCGCGGAGAAACGUCUCUUUUUUGGUUGCUUGUUCUCUGGCCGGGGACUCUGAGAAGAAACACUUGUGCUAGAAGCAGGCCCGGAUACACCUGUUCGGAUAAGAGCCUCCUGCAGCAACUUCGCCGCGUCAGUAGGACUAGCCAGAACAUCCUCCUCGGGGACGACAACUGAGCCCUGGGGUAGACCUGAAGUUUAUCAUUCCCCGCGAAACAUCUUGGGGGAAUAAAGAUUCAUUAAUUUAGCUAGGGUUAUCUCCUCUCCCGUUUCCUGGCAUAGCCGCCGAAGACUAACAACUGUCCUCCAUACAGAAGGACUUACUUAUGCUAAACAUACUUGGUAACGGAUGCAGAACUCUAUGAUGACGGAGAUAAGCUCCCCACUCAACGAGAACAACCUCAAAGUGAAGGGAUACAUAUAAAAAUACGUGAAAUCCUUCUUGGGUAAGGUUAUCCGCUCCGCCAGAUCAGGAGCGAUAAUAUCUAAAUCUUGGCAAUGACAGUCUCCCUUCACAGCUGGAAUACUAGAAGGAUGGAUGUAAGAAGGGUAUACGCCAACGACCCACGUGCGAGGGUUAGCGGAAGAAUACUUCUCUUCGAAGUCUUUAGUUGUGACAAAACUUCUUGGGAUGAUGGUGCUCACCGUAGGAGGAGCAUCAUUAUCAUCUUUACCUUUAUUUUUUAAAGAACUAGGGUUUCUGGAAGAAGAAACUAUUUUUCUCAGAAAGGAUAGAAAGGGUUUCUCCGAAGAAGAAGGUUAAAGAGAGGUUGAAGACAAAGUACGAGUUGAGUAAAAAGAGUUUGAGAAAAGUUUGGAGAAUUAUGAAGUGUAAAUGAAGAAGUUUGAUGCGUAUAAGUAAAGAAAUAUGCGGCUAAAAUCGUGACCAUAAUUACCUCGAUAACCGUCAAAAGUGAUGUUAAAUCGGGAUGACGCGUGUUCGGGGCAUUAAAUGCGGAGAGACGUGCGUUUAAUCAACCGUCAGAAACUUUUCAGCGGGAGUCAGAGAAUUUUCCGCCAAAAGAUGUAUCUCUACCAAAUUCCCAGUGACAUAAAUUUAUGCCACCGGAAAGGAGAGGGACUAUUUAUAAGAGUUAAAAUAUGUUCAUAUUUAAUAUUCGCAUGAGAAGGUGAUACGUGGAGCCGAAGACAGUCGGGCCCUUAGACAAUGAUCUCUCUUGUUAUCGGAGAGAAUAAUAUUCAUAAAGGCAAAGUAAAUGCCUACCACUUCAUAACAUUUAAUGAAGAAUAUUCUAUAGUAUUAAGUGUACGGUCCGUUGCAGAGAAUAAGGUAUUUACUGCCUACUGUUACAAACUCUUCAAUGAAUCUCAUAAUUGUUAUUUAAGAGGGGCUUGAUCCUACGACCUUGUUCCCUAGGUACAAUUAUAAAUAGUGAGCUCUACCAUCAUUGUAAGGGGAGAACUUCCCAACCAACAUACACUACACUUUGUUCAAAGCUCAAAAAUAUUUUACUUUCUUGCUUAUUUAGAUUAUUCGUACUGCUUCCGAAAGCUUUGUUCUCGGUCUCAAGACAUCUAUCGUCUUAUCUCGAUUUUAACGUUAAGUCUUACAUUUUUGUCUAAUUUAUUUAUCAUUUUAGGAUCAAAUCAAUUCACUUGUCUAUAAACCACGCAUAAAUUCGACUGUACUGUUUUACGGGUAAAAAACUACAAACCGGACAUCAAAAUGCAUGAAGUUCACAACCAAGCGUCCGAAUCUUAUCAAAUCAACUCCGUUUUGCAAUAAAAUUUGCAGACAAGUCUUAAAUAAUAAAAUAAACCUAUAUCAAGUUCCGAAACCGAGAUCCGAACCCGAUAGCCAUAAAGCCAACAUAUGGUCAAAUUUCAGAAUUCUUUAAACUUUCAAAUUACUAGCUUUCAACAAAUCAUGUCAAAUCAAGUUAGAAAUUUCUGAAUUCGAUACCGGGCAUACGCUAUGUCCAAAAUCAUGAUACAGACCCAUCAUGAUCGUCAAAAUAUCGAUCCGAGUCUGUUUACAUAAAUAUGCUGACCGUAGUCAACUCAAAUUAUUUUUAAAGCUAAAAUUCAUAUUUUCUUCAAUGUUUUCACAUAAAAGCUUUUCAGAAAAAGACACGGACUGCGCACACAUCUCAAGAAUCGCUAAACGGAUCUAAUCGAGGUCUCGAAAUAUUGAAAUAAGUGCCAGAACUCAGAAUGACCUAUCAGGUCAUCGCAAUCUUAAUUGCGCCUAAUAACUUAAACGGACUAUGAAUUGAUCAGUAGCAAAAUUAAAAUUCAUAAACUCCAAAUCCUAGUUACGACUCUUAUUCUAAAUCAAUUUUAUCUAAAUACUGCAUAAUUUAUCUUUUAAGGUGAAUCAAGGUUUUUAUAAAACUAAAAGUUUAGUAAAACUCAUAUAAGCAUACAAGCCUUGGGUUAAUUUCGCUGAUGGUCAUUGAACUAUUUUUCAAUUUCACUAAAGUCAUAUAACUAUUUUUUGUCACUUAAAAGUAACUAAACUUUAUCAUUGUCACUUACAAGUUAUUUUGCCUCAAACCCCUACCAUAAAUAUGACAUGUCAUUAAAUUUUAUGAUAAAAAAUCAAAAAUAAAUGCCACAUAAGCUAAUAUGGGUCAUACCCAUUUUAGAUCAAUUUAUCCUUAAUGUGAUUUGAUCCAUAAUCCAAAUGAGUUUCGAUAAAAAAAAUAAAUUAAUUCCACAUUAGUUUAAAAUGAUUAUCCUAUACUAUAAAGUUUUGCCUUUUCUGUCACAGCACAUUCAUAAUUAUUCUAUACUAAAAUAAUUUAUGCUAGAAAAUUCUUAUUUUAUUUGUAUGCCCCAUCCGAGUCAUUCAUAAUUAUUCUAUACUAAAAUAAUCUAUGCUAGAAAAUUUUUAUUUUGUCUGUAUGCCCCAUCCGAGUCAUUUUAAAAUACUAUUGUGUAUUUUAGCUUCAGUAGAGUUAUAAAAUCACUCAGAUGGGGAAUACCAGCAAGAUACGAAUUUUCUAGUAUAGAUUAUUUUAGUAUAGAAUAAUUAUGAAUGUGCUGUGACAGAAAAGAUAAAAUUUUGUAGUAUAGGAUAAUCAUUUUAAACUAAUGUGGAAUUUUUUUUUUUAAUCGAAACUCAUUUGGAUUAUGGAUCAAAUCACAUUAAAGGAUAAAUGAAUCUAAAAUGGUUAUGACCCAUAUUAGCUUAUGUGGUAUUUAUUUUUGGAUUUUUAUCAUAAAAUUUAAUGCCAUGUCAUAUUUAUGGUAGGAGUUUGCGGCAAAAUGACUUUUAAGUAACAAUGAUAAAGUUUAAUUACUUUUAAGUGACAAAAAUUAGUUAUAUGAUUUUAGUAAAAUUAAAAGAUAGUUCAAUGACCAUUAGUGAAAUUAAACCCUACAAGUCUUUGAUCAGAAUAAAAGAACUCACAGGAAAAUGUACAGUUAUUAUUAAUUUCAACAGUGAAAACAAAGAGGACAUUCAUUGAUUGCAUUUACAUUUCAUGCAUCUAUCAUCUAUGUACGUUCAUUUUCUCUGUGAUCUGUACCUACCGAUAUAGGAAUUAGGUUCAUAGUCUUAGUCGCGAUAUAAGGUAAGACAAACUCACCACUGACCCCAAAAAGUAGCUUAAUUAGGUUUGGUUCUUAACUGACGAAAAGAAUUUAAAUAUAUUCAUUUUAGCUAGUAAGCUUUUACGUUUUACAUCAUUUUCUUGAUGUUACCACAUAUUUGGAAAUAAAGAAAAGAAACCCAGUUUAUAAAGUUUUCCGUGCCCACGCAAGAUCUGAGAAAGACCUACAUUCCAAGGGGAUGUGAUGUAAGCAACUUAUCCUGAUGCAAGUAUCAUUGGUUGAUUUCACGGUUUGAACCCGUGACCUAUAAAUUACAAAAAGAUAACUUUACUGAUUCCUUAGGUUGCCCGAUGAAACAUGACCUGAUAUAGGAGUAAAAUUAACUUUUACCCCCUUCACAAAAGUGUUUUUUUUCUUUCGUUUCAUAUAACUAUUAAAAUGGUGCUGGUUGAAGCAAAUCUGGAACUCUAUUCACUUUAUAAAAGCAAGAUCCAUUUAUGGAGGCAAGACAUCGAUCACGAAUGCCCAUCUUGUAUGAUAAUGCUCUAGGAUGGGACGGUUGGCAAAACUCUCCUUCAUUUAUGGUAGCAUUCCUGGUUUCUUUAAUUUUCGUAGGGAUCGUUUGGCACGAGGGAUAAGAAAAUAUUAUAAUUUCAAGAUUGAAUUCGAAAUUAGCUUAUCUUACGUUUGGCAAGACCGUGAGUUAUAUAUCACACUUCACGUGGGAUAUACAAUACCAAAAUAACUAAUUUUGGAAUUGAAACAUAUAAUGACACACUUGCUUCAUCUUCUACCAAGCUCUUUAAGAAAGCUAAUACUAUUAAAAUUUAAAAUAAAAGAUUAUCUCAUUUUAACUAAUUUAAAGCAAAUAUAUUAUAUACAUUAUACCACAUAUAGUUCAUUUUUGGCAGAAUACAUCGACAACCCAUUACAAUUAUCCACACUUUUUACUUAAACACUUUAUCUUAAAUCUGUUUUAUUUGAACACCCAACCACAUUUUAAAUAUAUCUUUUAGACACAACCGGUUAAUAUGACACAGUACGUGUAUUACACUAUUUUUCUGAGUGUGAGAGAUCCAAUUUUUCUUUUAAAUUUUUCCUCUUAUUCUUUCGCAGACCAUGUCCAGCUCACCACCUUCGUCCUCGCUCUCUCCCUACACUAGUCCACCACCAUCCAUCUUAAUGUUUUAGUUUUCCCCAGCCAUGUCGAAUUGCCGCUUAAAGUCCGAUGAACCAAAAUCUAGCAGUAAAAAAUUAUUCUCUAAAUAAAAAUUUUCAUUAUUAAUUCUAAUAUUAUAAUCUUAUCAUUAUUAAUCCCGAGAUAAUUUGUACACCACAAACAAGUAUAUUCCCCGUCUGUUGAUUCAAGAAAUAAGGGUUACUGAAAUUGAAUUAAUAAUAUAACAAAAUAGAGAUGGAGAAAAUAUUUGAGAAGUUAAAAAAAAGGAGAAUAAACUUCUCUAAAUAAGGUAAGACCUACCCUAUUUAUUUUCCCUUCUGAACCAUCAAUAAUUAUCCGUUAGAGAAGUAAAGUUGGAAAUACAUAGUAAUGCAAAGUCAAUUAUACUCCUUAAUCAAAAUAAUUUUUUGGAUUAUUUCUUAAUCAUUUUUCCUAUUUUUUUUUGAUUAUACAGAGGGAAUCGGAAGCUAGUGAUGCAUAUGAAACACAUGGAGAUAAAGAUGUGACAUUUGAAAGUAAAUUGGAAUUUUUUUUGGCAAUGAAGUGAAAUGGUGACUUGGUGAAAGGUCUCUUUACUCUUCCUUUAAUGGCCAUUGAAUAACUUCAAAUAAAUUCAUCAGU